UGGGAAGAGAGAUGAAAUGUUGUCAUCUUCACAAAAGUCGUAGCAACCAAAGAAAAGAAAAAAGAAGAAAACUUAGGGUAUGUUUGGUUCACUGUAAUUGAAUAUGGUUGUAAUUGAAUAGGGAUGUAAUCAAUAAUUUAAUUGUUUGUCCUCCAAAGUAUCACAAGUUUGAGCAUGUGAGCCUGACAUACAGAUGCAUAAUUUCGGUUAAAAAUAUUGUCCAAGCUUAUUGAUAUGAAAUACAUCUCCAAAAUUAUUUUUUUAGGGGGGGCAAAUCUUAAAUGAAAAUGAUAAAAAAUAAGUACAUGCAGAAGAAACUCAAAGAAACAUCCACCAAUUUUGUAAGCAAUCAAUAUCGGUGAAAUCAAUACAAUUCACACUACUAAUUAUAGAUAUACAGAGUCUUCAUUGCUAAGAGAAAAUCAUGAAUGCUGGUACAGAUGCCAAGAUUGUUGAAACACUAAGCAAUGGCAAAUUUACUAGUAAAAUGAUUUCCUCAUCUCCCCCGCCUUUGUUUUCUUUUUCUUUUUCUUGCUCAAAAACUCUGUAACUGAUUCAAAGCUCAAAAUCCAAAACCCCUUCAACCCAUUUACCACAAACAACAAAUUCCAACUUUAAAUUGAAAUCCCUUACUAUCGAGACAAGCAACUUGAAAUCCCUUACAAUAAACAGAAAUGCCUAACAAUUCGAAAAAACCAAGCUUAGCUUUCUAGCUCUAAAUUGCCCUAAAAUAAUCGGAUCAACCAAUCGACCAAUUUUUUUUCGAAAACUCAUUUUUUUCACAGCUCCAUUCUAAUGAAAUACAAGUAGAGAAGCAAAGAGAUGAAAUUCUCACAAUGGAGUUGAGAUUGAGGGGAAUAAUAACCUUACUCGUUCAACUUUGGGGAAGCUUUUUACAAUGUCGAGAUCUCUGUCGAUGAUGGUCGUGGGAUGAGAAUAACUAAACGAGAACUAGGAGACAGGGUUGGGGUGUGGUGGCUUGAGGUGUUCACUGAGGGAGAGUGGUAAAGGGCAAAAAUAGGAGGUUAUGUUUUUUUUCUUAUUCGGUGGAGGCUCUGUAUUGCUAUUCUUUAGAUCAGGUGGGGAAUGGCUAUUACGGGAGGAGGCAGAAUGGGAGAUGAAUGAAAUUAUGUCGAUUGGAGGAUUUGGUGAACCAAACUAAUGAAUAGCUGGGGUUUUU
This 1180-nucleotide long non-coding RNA is filed under the name Gossypium barbadense (sea-island cotton). Its description in RNAcentral is "long non-coding RNA (GBAR_LNC016252)". Lineage: Eukaryota; Viridiplantae; Streptophyta; Magnoliopsida; Malvales; Malvaceae. The record is from RNAcentral.